RNAcentral lists this long non-coding RNA (1211 nucleotides) under Homo sapiens (human). RNAcentral describes it as "HSALNT0320039". Lineage: Eukaryota; Metazoa; Chordata; Mammalia; Primates; Hominidae. The record is from RNAcentral.
UGCUGUGGUGCAGGUGGCCGAAGGGGGCGUUACUGUUGCGACUGGCAUCCGCAUCCGGCAGAUGUAGAUGGAACCAAAGUCCAGAAGUUACGCGUCACCCUUGCUCUACAGCCAAACAUGCAGGACUCUAGUAACCCGCGAAAUGAUGGGAUAGCGUUGCAAAUCCUUAAAAGAGUCUUAACGCUAUGUGUUCCAAGAUUACUGAAGCAGGAUUCUGGCCUUCCUGAUAAGAACAUGACCAGAUCCAGCUGGUUUGCAACAAGAUGAACUUCAGUGCUGAGCUUUCACCAAGUUUUUCUCACUACAAUCUCAUUGUAAUACUAAAAUCUCCACCCAAGAUGGAGGUUAUCUGCCAUUUUCUGUACAUGUGUUACCAGAAAGGGGUCCUGAUCCAGACCCCAAAAGAGGGUUCUUGGAUCUCACGCAACAAAGAGUUCGGGGCGAGUCCAUAGAGUAAAGUGAAAGCAAGUUCAUCAAGAAAGCAAAGGAAUAAAGAAUGCCUACUCCAUAGGCAGAGCAGUGGCUUUGGCUGCUCAGCUGCUUGUACUUGUUACUUCUUGAGUAUAUGCUAAACAAGGGAUUGAUUACUCCUUGUUUAGCAGUUUUCUGGGAAAGGAGUGGGCAAUUCCCAGAACUGAGGGUUCCUCCCCUUUUUAGACCAUAUAGGGUGACUUCCUGAUGUUGCCAUGGCAUUUGUAAACUGUCAUGGCGCUAGUGGGAGUGUCUUUUAGCAUGCUAAUGCAUGAGCAGUGAGGAUGACCCGAGGUCAUUUUUGUUACCAUCUUGGUUUUGGUGGGUUUUGGCUGGUUUUGGCCGGCUUCUUUACCACUUCUUUUUAUCAGCAAGGUCUUUGUGACCUGUACUUAGUGCCGACUUCCUGUCUCAUCCUGUGAGUAAGAAUGCCUAAUCUCUCAGGAAUGCAGCCCAGUAGGUCUCAACCUUAUUUUACCCAGCCCCCAUUCAAGAUGGAGUGACUCUGGUUCAAAUGCCUCUGACACAUGUGCCUCAUGUUUGGGCAUGAGACCUCACUGUGUAGGUGCAGAGAAGACCCUGCCUAAACAUUGCCUACACGUUGCUCCUUUUUCCUGCCUCAACUUCCUUAAAAUGACAAGAGCAGAGCCCUUUUGGGAGCUAACAUCAGGACUCCUUUUCUGUACUCUGCUCCGUUGUGCUGCUAGAGCCACAAGCCUAUUAAACUUUGCCUGAAAUAA